GCGAGAUUCCGUGGGCGUAGGACCCUCUGAGCCAGGUGUGGGAUAUAGUCUCGUGGUGAGCCGUUUCUUAAGCCGGUCUGAAAAGCGCAAUAUUCGGGUGGGAGUGACCCGAUUUUCCAGGUGCGUCCGUCACCCCUUUCUUUGACUCGGAAAGGGAACUCCCUGACCCCUUGCGCUUCCCAGGUGAGGCAAUGCCUCGCCCUGCUUCGGCUCGCGCACGGUGCGCACACACACAGGCCUGCGCCCACUGUCUGGCACUCCCUAGUGAGAUGAACCCGGUACCUCAGAUGGAAAUGCAGAAAUCACCCGUCUUCUGUGUCGCUCACGCUGGGAGCUGUAGACCGGAGCUGUUCCUAUUCGGCCAUCUUGGCUCCUCCUCUGUACCAGGAAACACCUUAGUGUCAUAUUUCUGCAUUAAUCAUGGAAUCUAUUUUCAUUUAAAACCCCAAACAGAAGGAAACAGGGAUUAAUUGUGUCUGCCCAGUAUGGCAUGAAGGUUUCAUCACCUGUGGUAACUCCAGUUGAUUGAAGGUGGUUACAUGAAGAGAUAUGUUGGAACAAAUUGUGAGACACUGUUAGGGCUCUGCUGGCAAGUGUGGUUACCUAUGAGUAAUGACUACUAUGGGUGCUGAAGGUGUGAGGGAAGGUGCAAGUGCUUAGGUAUUUGCUGUCUAUAUCUUAAGUCUUCGGCAUAUAAUUACCACGUGUCCUUGGGAAGAAGGGAGGUCUCAAAAUCAUCCCUGGAUAAUUUCUUUGGUUUUUCGCCUCUUUCCAUCAUUUAGUCUUUCUUUAUCCCUUUCUGAUAUCUACUGUACAUUUAAUUAAGCUUAGCAGUAUAGAGAUAGAAAACAGGCUGCAAAUAUUAUCCCCAUACCUAACCAAGACUCUCAUUUAAAUCACUGGCAAUGUAAUUCUUGCUUGCCCCACACCAUUGAUUUGCAUAUUUUGGUGGGUAAAACAAUCACCUGAGGACAUGGUUUCAAAUAUAAGCUCUGGCUUUUACUCCCAAGAGAUUCAGAUUAGAAAUAGAUGCAUUUGAUCUGUAUCUUAACUGAGAUACAUUUGAUCAGUUUCAACUGAGAUACAUUUUGAAACUGAUCUGCAUUUAAAAGGCACUCUGAGUAUCUGUGAGGCAGAAGACUUUGGACCAUAAUUUGAGCAACACUACCCUAAACUCAGAUAAAUUGCUCUUUUUACCCAGGAGCUGGGACAGGAUUUAAUAUGAGCCACAGCGUCAGUCCUUCUGUCUACCUCCAGGGGAACUAGUACUCUUUUUUUUUUUUUUUUUUUUUUUUUUGAGACGGAGUCUCGCUCUGUCGCCCAGGCUGGAGUGCAGUGGCGCGAUCUCGGCUCACUGCAAGCUCCGCCUCCCAGGUUCACGCCAUUCUCCUGCCUCAGCCUCCCGAGUAGCUGGGACUACAGGCGCCCGCUACCACGCCCGGCUAAUUUUUUUGUAUUUUUUGUAGAGACGGGGUUUCACCGUGUUAGCCAGGAUGGUCUCGAUCUCCUGACCUCGUGAUCCGCCCGCCUCGGCCUCCCAAAGUGCUGGGAUUACAGGCGUGAGCCACCGCGCCCGGCCGGAACUAGUACUCUUGCAAGAAAAUCACUGGGAGAUGAUUUAGGAGGAGGAGCACAACUUUAGGUUUGAAUAUGAAAUUGGAACAAGUGUACUCAUAGGCUCAGCAUUCACUCUCUUAUCCCAGUCCCCUCCUGCUUUUUGGCUUAUUCUCUUUAUUAUUCAUGCACAAGAUGUUCCCUCUCUUUUCACUCUCACAGAAUCAUGCAUUGUUUUGAGGUUGAAAUUGUCUUUCUUAUCUUUGUAUUCCUUACAGUAAACACACAUAAUAAGGAUUCAACAAUAUUUUUCAAAGGAAAUAAAACAUCAAGCCCAGGGGCCACUGAUUUAAUUGCUCUCUUGAGCAAGUCCAUUCAUGGCUCUAAAUGUCUAUUUACUAUGGUUAUUCAUGAUGUUGAUGAAUGUCUCAGCAACUACCAUUAACUGAGCACUUCUACUCGAUGCAGACUAUUGUGUUGUGCUGAGUUUUACCUUCAUUCUUCGUUUCACUUAGUCCUCAUAACAAUCCUUAGAGGGUGUCAACAGAGGCAACAAAAGGAAAGUGGGCAAACCUUUAAUAUGCAAGGUCUCUUCUCAUUAUGCAGAGAACAAUGGCCACUGAACCUACAUCCAAUCAAACCAAGUCUGCUCGAGCUGCAGAAGUGCAAAUCCUUGGUCCCUAGACAUUAAUCAUUUCCAUACAUGAAUGAGAAGCUUGUGGGGAUAGGUAGUUUUAUUUAUAAGCCAACACAUACUCACUCCCGCUCCCUCCAUACAUACACAUAAGCUUCAGCCUUUUUAAGACACAAGGGUGUCUUUCAGUUUACCUACUUUUUUAGACCUGUGUGGAUAUAAGGAUUACAGGUUUCCUGCCUGUCCAGGAAGAGUGAUCACUUUGCUCUCUAAGAACUUAACUCCCAGGCUUAAUUAUUAUGCGAGUGUGCAAGUGUAUUAAGCAUGUAGGCCAAAAGCAAUUUAAAGUCUAUGCUGCAUUGACUUUCAAAUUAUUUCAUUUCUAAUUCAGAUGCAUGCUUUGUUAAGGCAUUUAUCACUGUUAUAUCAUCAGCCAGAUUGUUCCAUGACUACAGUCCCUCAAAACCUCUAUCCCCACCGGGUCCACAUCAGGAGCACUAAAUGACAUCCCCUACCCUCGUACGUUGAGUCAAGCUUGGAGUCUCCUCCCCAAGUGCCUCACUUCAUCUUUCGAUGUAUCUCCCACUGGUGGAAAAUGUAUCAAACACUGCAUAUCUCAUCAGCAAGACCAUUUGUUUCUCCUUACUAAGGCAUUGUGGUGCUCCUAGAAAGGUGGACACAGUUUCACGCCCGCACUCAGAAUUCCUUGAAACUAGUCAAAUGACUUUCAUCAGUAAAUCAGAUAUUACUUCCUUGAAUAUGUUGGAUUCUUAGAAAAAUUAAUGAAUACAAAGAUUCUAUAGUCUUGGAACGUGAGGAAUUAACAGAUAACCAAAGCAUCUUAAAGCCAUACCUAAUGUCAGUAAUCUAUCCCUUGUAAACGUAAAUCUAACGAUGUCUAUACUAACAGCUUCUAAAGGACCAAUAGUCCUUCCCCAUCCAGACCUCUUAACCUCAAUGAAGACUAUUCCCACCAUACAUGCCACAUAUUAAACCUGUAUCUGGGAGGAGGAGAGAGUUUCUGGGAUAUGGAGAAAGACAAUAUUUUUGCUGUUCCUUUGUCCUUAACAUUUUUAUUUUGUCUUGAUAUUUUUACUUAUUCCAUGAUUUUGCAGCUAAAGAAUGGAGUCGGAGAUGGAGCAGAGAGAAUAUUUGGAAAAUAACUAAAAUUAGCAGGUAUCCCGAUGGAAAAUAUCAUAGAUUUGUGACAAAAGAUGUGUGUCAGUGGGACUCAAGAAAACCUACAGACCCCUUACUAUUAAAAAUGGAACAGUAAUCCCUGAAUAUCAGGGUUUUCUUGAGGAUUAACUAUAAUAAUAACAUAACGGUGUUUGGUAAAGCUGGAAAGUAGCAUAUUCAUUAUUAUGGAUAACAUUUUAAAAGGUUUAAUGCUGAAAUAAGCAACUCGAUCUCCGAAAAUUUUAAUCUGGUUUUAUCAGAUCCUUUAAGCAAAAACAAUGUUAAAAUAAAAUGUAAUUUUGGCUUAAGGGGAAGAUUUCCAACUAUGGUGUGUUUGUGUGUGUGUGUGUGUGUGUGUGUGUAUACUGGUAUAAAUCAAUGAACAUUCAUUCUAGAUUUCAAUAAUUUUACUAAAGAGAAUAAUGUUUGCUUUUGUUAUUUGACAAGGGAGGUGGCAUCGUAAAUACUUCAUUAUGUUGCAUUUUCUCAUCAGUCUCUUUCUCAUCCCAGCAGAUGCAAACUGUGCACUUACAGUCAGUAGCAGAAUAAAAAAUCUGGGCUUUUGGUACUGAUUUGGUAUGACCUUCUUCUUUCUCAUUUUGAAACCUCUUACUGCUGCCAGAGAAACCAACAACACUCUUUGCACUAUGUUACACUCAAGGUAGCUGAAAAACUUCAUCAAUAAGUAUCCUGAGGUUUAAGCCAACCAAUAAAAUUAAAGAAAAGAAAGUCAUUACAGUAGGAUGUGUGAUUUAGGGCCAACAUGAAAAGCAACGAAGAGAACUCUGUAUGUCACUAAUGGAAACUUGGCCAGUUCCUACCUACUAAUAAAUAAUGUGCUGUUAAGCUGAGAGCUAAAUAUUUGGGUGAGGAUUUGGAGAUUCCAGAAAUCCUGAAACUAAUUAAGACAUAAAUAUGAGGAUCCUGAAAAGUUCAAGGAUAGAUUAGGGGGAAUGAAUGCACCAGCAAGAUGACCUCACUCUCCAGCAAACAGGCUCAGGUGAGGUAGGACAUUGAAAUGGAACUGGGUCCCUGGAGGACAUGAAGGAAGCUGAAACAGAGUGUGUGGGAUCUAAGAAGGAAAAAUUUGUAUUUUUGUGUACUUUUGGUUUUCGAUCCUUAUACUGAUCUACUUGUAUCAAGAGGAAUAGAAUAAGUCAAGUUGAUAUGAGAAAAAAGAAAAGUGAUUUUCAAGGGCUUUGGAGGGGGUGGGGGUACACAAUGGUGCAAUCGUUUCUGGCCACUCCUGAGCCAGCAAAUGAGAAAAGAAUCCUCAGGAGUGUUAAUAGCGCCUGGAGUGCUGUGUGUGGAGGAUGAGUGGGCUCAAGCUCAGAGAUUUGCUUUUGUGUUUCAUCUGAAACCAAUCAGUAAGCGAAAAAGCAGAAAGCUCUUUUGGCAUCUAUUCCACCAUUGACACUGGGAGAAGGAAAGAGGAUUUAUACAUAGAGACCCCCAUUAACACUAAUGAAAAGUAGGCGGGUAAAUCCCAUGUGUACGAGGAGCAAACACUGUCCUUUGUGUGGGGGUAAUUAAGAGCUAAAGAGAGCUUACAGUUGCUCACCACUGCACACAUGCUCCUGGUGAAAGCUCCUUCACAGCAGUGUUGCAGUGGCUUUCUUUAGUUUCAAUGGUUGCAGCCUAACAGUUGUUAACCAUCUCUCGCCCUCGUUCCCCCAUAAAGGAGUGAAAGGGAACGAUGUAUUGGAAAUGACAGUAUUUGACACUAUUGGCAAAGGGGCUUUCAAGGAAAACGUACAAGCAAAGAAAGGAGACAUUCAAAACGAACCUAAAUUUAAGCAGAAGAGAAUAAUAAGUGGCUCAAGGGAAAUAACCCUAUACUCAUAACAUCCUUGCCAGCACCCAAUCCUUUGGAACUGUGGCAGGAAGAGGAGCCAUGUGUAAACCAAGAAUAUGGAAUACUAGCAAGCACCACGUCUAAGGUCCAAAGCCAUAAAUAUGGCAAGAAGAUGCUCCAGUGAUGGCAGGAAUGGAGAAGAAAAGGUGAGAGCUAGGACAUCAUUCCAUUUUUACUCUGCAGACCAACCCUGGAAAUGUAGUUCUACAUUCAUUCUGAGUUCCAGAAGUAUCUGAAGGCAGUAAAAAAAAAAAUUAUCUUUUCCUAGGGCAAUGUUCAAGUCUCAAGACCAACUGUUGAACUUAACAGGUUGGACCCAUAUGAACAAAGAACAAAAUGAAAUUUUACAUGUAUGAAAUGCCUGUGAAGUCUUUUAUUUAUUGAUUUUUCUGAUGAAACAUAGGGAACCCUAGUGGAUGUACAGGCUAGAAAGACAUAUUUAAUUCAGCACAAGCUCAAUAAGUAUUCAGAGUAUUUUUGUGUUUGAUUACUCCAGGUCCUUGCACAUAUCCUAUUGUAUGUACGAUAUGAUCUCAGCCUAAUGAUUGAUUGAAGAAAUACAUGAGAUUGAAAGAUAAGUUGAUUCACAAUCGAACUGCCUCCUUAUCUUGAGAGGAAUCAUCUGUUUUGCUUUUCAUAGUUUUGAUCUAGAGUGUAAUUUCCAUUCUAAACAACAAAAUUUUAGAGAAACAUUGAUAAACAAUGGUCCAGGAAAGUGAGAUGUCUAUGAAGAGUAUUAUAUAAAAAUCCACUUGAAUGAAUUGAAGAGAAUGUUUCUAGAGUAGCUAAUACUCAAGACCAAAAAAAAGCAGCUUUUGCAUAGUGAAAGGUUAUCAUGAAGAAUGGAAACUUUUUUUGUGGAUGAGGCACCUUCAUUAUUAGCAGUUAUUAACAGUUUCAGCUGCUUGAACAGAAAGACUCAAUAUAACAGAGUAUGAACUAAGCAGCUCAGAGCUGAUAUGGCAGCUGCAUGUUAUUUGGGAUCAAGGACCUUUCUGUUUGUUCUCUAACACUUCUCAAAAUGUCUCCAUCUCCUGGUCCCAAAUGGCUACUCCCAUUUCCACUGUCACUUCUACACUCUAGCCAGCAGAAGGGAAGAAAAAAAAGGGAAAGAAAAUAUACUCCUUAUCUUUAAGUGCAGGAUCUAAAAGUUUCAAGCGCUUCCUUUCACAUCCAUUGGUCAAAACUUACUUACAUGGCCCUGAUUAGCUGCAGGGGAUAAUAUGAAAUGUAGAUUUUAGCCUCCACUUCUAUGGAAAAUAGGAGACUCAAUAAUAGCAAAAAAAAAAAAGUGGCUAUUUAUUUUACUGUCACAUAUAUAGCACAUACAUCAUUAGCUAGAAGUUUGUGAAUGAUUUCAGGUAGGUAACUUAACAUCUCUAUCUCAACUAAUUUUAAGAAGGGAUUUCUAGCAAUUAGAUAUAUAAACUAUAAUAUUGAUAUAUAUGUGUUACAUGUAAAAUGUGUAUUAUAUUCAUAAUGCUCAUAACAGCAUUAUUCAUAAUAGCUAAAAUGUGGAAACAAAUCAAAUGCCCAACUGAUUAUCACACAACUGAUGAAUGGUAAAUAAAAUGUGGUAUAUUUAUAAAAUAAAGUAUUAUAUGGCAAUAAAAAGGAAUGAAGUACUGACACAUACUAAAACAUGAUGAAAUUUGAAAAACAUGCUAAAGAAGCCAGCUACAAAAGAUCAUAUAUUUUAUGAUUUCCUUUAUAUGUACUGUCCAGAGAGUAGGCAAAUCUACAAACACAUAAAGUACAUUAGUGUUUGCUUUAGGUUGUAGAGGACUUGGUGACAAACUGAAUAAGAGUGUUCUCAAAUGGAUUCUGCUUGUAACAGUUGUGCAACUCUGUGAAUAUACUAAAAAGUACUGAAUUGUCCAUUUUUAAAUGGAUAGAUGUAAUGAUAGUUGAAUUAGAUUUCAAUAAAGCUGUUUUUAAAAAGUUAAAAAAUGCUAAUAUUCUAUAGCAAAGAUCUCAUGUAGGUUACAUCUGACUCCAGUAUGCAGCCCAAAAAGAAAAUAUAAAGGUUUUUAAUGAAUAAACUUACAUAUGUGAACCACCCGUUUUUAGGAAAUAUGAGAGAUUUGUCCUAAACGUGAAAAAUCUGAUUUCACUUGUCACAUGUUAACACCUGCACUAAAGGUGUGUGUGUGUGCAUGUGUGUGUGUGUAUGAGUGGGAGGAAGGAUAUAUGCAGAAACAUGUACUAUGUCCAGCUUCCCUUUUCUCUAGCCACUCAAUAACACUUAAUAUUUUUGAGUGCAUAUACCAAGAACUAUACUAAAAAUAUCAAAUACAUUAUCUCACUUAAUCUUUAUAGAAAUCUCAUGAAACUACAAAUCUGAAGACUAAAAAACGUAUGCAUCUAGCAUGAAGUUACUUAGGUAGUAGGUUAGAUAGCUGGGGUUUGAACUCAGAUUCACCGAGUUCAAACGUUGAUCAACUUGCAAUAUCACAUGCAACUUCUAUUAUGCAAGGUGUGCAGUGAGAGUUCAAGAAAGUCCCUUGGUGCAUAUUACCAAUUUGAAAAUAUGGAAUGAUGUUGGAAAUGUGUGAAGAUGAUUGAUUCAUUGAGCUCUUUCAUUGGCCCAAAGACUUUCUUCAUUUAAUUUUGUGUGUGUGUAAGAGAGAGACAGGGUCUCACUCUUUUGCUCAGACUGGAGUGCAGUGGCAUGAUCACAGCUCACUGCAGCCUCCAUCUCUCCAGUCUCAGGUGAUUCUUCCACCUCAAACUCCUGAGUAGCUGAGACUACAGGCUCAUGCCAUCACACUCAGCUAAUUGUGUUUUUGUUGUUGUUUGUUUGAUUUUGUAGAGACAGGGUGUUGUUAUGUCACCCAGGCUGGUCUGGAACUCCUGGGCUCAAGCCAUCUGCCCACUUUGACCCCCCACAGAGCUGGGAUAACAGGUGUGAGCACUGUACCUGGCCACUUCAUUUAAUUUUUAGUUGAUAAACUUAUUUUUUAGGGCAGUGUUAGGUUCACAGCAAAAUUGAACAGUAAGUACAGAAGAUUUCCACAUACUUCACCUCCCUAAAACACUCAGCCAUCCCUAUAGUCAACUAGAGUGCUACAUUUGUUAUAGUUGUUAAACUAAUGUGGACACAUCAUUAUCACCCAAACUCCAUAGUUGACAUUACUGUUCAUUCUUUGUGUUACAUAUUCUGUGUGUAUUGAAAAAUGUGUAAUGACAUGAAUCUACCAUUAUAUUAUCAUGCAAAAUAGUUUCACUGCCCUGAACAAUCGUCUGUGGUCUCCCAAUUUAUCCUUUCUCUACUCCCCAAAUCCUGGCAACCAUGGAUUCUUUUAGUUUUGCUUUUUCCAGAAUGGGAUAGUUGAAAUUAAACAGUAUACAGCCUUUUCAGAUUUACUACUUUCCCUUAGUAAUAUGCAUUUAGGGAUCCUCUUGUAUUUUUGAGGCAGGGUAGAUUAUUUUUUAGUACUGAAUAAUACUCCAUUAUAUAGAUAUACCACGGUUUAUCCAUUUCCCUGUUGAUGGACAUCUUCACUGAUUCCAUAUUUUGACAUUAUAAAGAAAGUUACUAUAAACACACAAGUUCAUUUUUUUGUGAGGAUAUUCAUUUUUAACUGAUUUGGGUAAAUACCAAGGAACAUGAUUGCUGGAUUAUAUGGUAAGAAUAUGUUUAGUUUUGUAAAAACCUGCCUCUCAAGAGGUGGUACCAUCUUGUACUCUCACUAGCAAUGAAUGAGUAUUCUUGUACACCCAUCCUCACAAGGAUUUAGUGUCACUGUCUUGGAUUUUUGCCAUUCUAAUAGGUGUUUUUGAGUCCUUAUUAUUGUUUUAAUUUGAAAUUUCUUGAUGAUGUAUGAUAUUGGGCAUCCUUUCUCAUGCGUAUUUGCCAUCUGUAUUCAUGAAUAUGUAUUCAUUGAUGAGCUGUUUGUUCAGAUCUUUUGCUCAUGUUUUGGUUGAGUUGUUGGUUUUCUCCAAGGAUUUUUUUUUUAAUGUUUAAACUAGAAGCAUGAGCUGUUAGACUCUCCUUUAACCCAGAGAUGUUAUAGAUAAGACACUAGCCUUGAAAAUACUAAUUAUCUAUUUUUUAAAGAAUUAGAACAAUUGAGAUAGGGAUUGCCUUGCAUAUAUGGAUUGACAAGAUGGUAACUAGAGGCUAUAAUUUACUUUUCUUUGGGAUGCCAUCCCAGACUUAAUAGAAUAGCAGAUUUUAAGGCAGACCUAAUUAUCAUAGACCUACCUAUUCAAAAUAACUUGGUCAUAAGGAAUUUACUGAAUUUAAGCUGUGACCAUCAAGAAAAUAUAGUAUCCUGGAAUUUCAAUAGUAGUCAGGAUCAUUUUCUAGACUCAAGAUGUUAAGGGAUCAGCAAACACCGCUUUUCCUGGGCCACAGAAACUUUAUUGAAAAGCCUGUGAAAUUAUCUUCUCUACUCCAAAGAUAUCGUCUAGGUCUUGUCUUUCUACUCCUGUCCUGAACAUUCAGUUUAAAGCAGUCCAUUUUACUCUAUUUGGAUUUUAUUAAAAGGCUUUGGAAUACCUCAGCAACGCUGACCUAGAAACUCUUCAUAGUGUUCUGCCGUUUGUAAUCGUUUCUAGUCUACGCUCUGUGAUGCCGUGGAAGUUCAGCUCUGAAUCAAGCUCAGCCUAAAGUUCUAGAACAUGGUACCACUUUUGGUUCCACCAGCCUCCAUUUCCCGAUUGAGAAUAGGACAAUGAGAAUCGGAGUCAGGGACAACACUAUGUUAUUAACUUUUGACAAUCAGAGUCAGCUUUUGGAGAAUAAGUUACCUUUUUAUGAAACUCAAAUUAAAUUUGAACAACAUCAGUAAUGCCAACUUGACAGAGUUUAGGUAUGGUCUGACGAAAAACACUCACUAUUUUUAGAAUACUUUUCAUAUUUAAAUACCAGUACUAUGAUUGAGUUGGUUAAACAUGAUCAAAGGGUGUGUGUGUGUGUGUGUGUGUGUGUGUGUGUGGUGUAUAUAAAUAUUUUAUAAAUAUAAAAAGAUAAAUGCGUAUAACUUUUAUUUUUAUGAAAAUACAUUUAUUGUUUCCCAUAGGUUCGCCUUUCCUACAGAAAACCCAAAUUCUUCAAUAGCUAAAAAGGUUUACUGUACUCUUGUUACAAACAUGAUCCAUGUUUCUAUACCUAUAUUUAAGUAUGAGAACAGCCAACUACGGAAACACUUUGGCCAUUCCCGUCAGUGCAAUGUGGAGUCCCACAUGGGCGCCUUCUGCUAGUUCACCCCCUGGUGGUAACACAAAAUUCAUUCAUGAGCUAUGGCACCAUUUCUCCUUUGUAGUCCUACCCACUAACAUCUGUCAGAUACUACUCACUUUUCAAAGCCCAACACCCAUAAAGUUAUAUAUCAAAAGCUUGGAGGUCCAAAAUUUCAGGAAUCUUGGUUCUAAUGUAAAGCAAAGUAUGUCAAAUGGAACAUAGUAAUACUUGCUCUUACCAUCCUUUGAUUCAAGUGAAUUUAGUACAGGAAUGCAUAGGCAAUCUCUUUAACAAUUGUUCUAAUUUUCCCUCAAUAUCAUUUUUUGCUAAUCUUAUCUUUUGCUUUUCUGAUUUUAAGUAACCUCUUCUGUUUUUACAAACUGGUUGGGCCUUUAAUAUAUUUAUUAUUUCCACAGCUACAGUUUUUCAAGCACCGCUGUCAUGGAUAAAAAUGCAUAGUACAGAUAGCAGUUUAUUCAAAAUAAAACAUUAAUGGAAACGAAAAGCUUGAAUUGUAUGACACAGCUUGUAUGAAGAGUUUGAUGUGUUAUCUUUAGGCCUUUCAGACAUUUCAUAAUCAGAUGCUCUUCUAAUACUGAACACCCUCCCUUGGCUAUCUCCUCAUCUGUCCUAUGAAACCUGGUUCUCUAAAUGCUUCUGUUAUCCAACUCUCUUUAUAUAAACUUCUGUUGUUAAUUAUUAGAGCAAAUAUUAAAAACUAUUAUAGAUAUUCGUGAUCCUGUCAUUAGGCAAAUCUUUGGCCAGCCUCCC
This 11181-nucleotide long non-coding RNA is filed under the name Homo sapiens (human). RNAcentral describes it as "long non-coding RNA NONHSAT169584.1". The record is from RNAcentral. Lineage: Eukaryota; Metazoa; Chordata; Mammalia; Primates; Hominidae.